AGUGAACGCUGGCGGUAGGCCUAACACAUGCAAGUCGAACGGCAGCACAGUAAGAGCUUGCUCUUACGGGUGGCGAGUGGCGGACGGGUGAGGAAUACAUCGGAAUCUACUUUUUCGUGGGGGAUAACGUAGGGAAACUUACGCUAAUACCGCAUACGACCUACGGGUGAAAGCAGGGGAUCUUCGGACCUUGCGCGAUUGAAUGAGCCGAUGUCGGAUUAGCUAGUUGGCGGGGUAAAGGCCCACCAAGGCGACGAUCCGUAGCUGGUCUGAGAGGAUGAUCAGCCACACUGGAACUGAGACACGGUCCAGACUCCUACGGGAGGCAGCAGUGGGGAAUAUUGGACAAUGGGCGCAAGCCUGAUCCAGCCAUAGCGCGUGGGUGAAGAAGGCCUUCGGGUUGUAAAGCCCUUUUGUUGGGAAAGAAAAGCAGCAGGUUAAUACCCCGCUGUUCUGACGGUACCCAAAGAAUAAGCACCGGCUAAAUUCG
Molecule: ribosomal RNA, 490 nt
Filed under: uncultured bacterium
Lineage: Bacteria
Description: partial 16S ribosomal RNA
Rfam family: Bacterial small subunit ribosomal RNA
Source: RNAcentral